This 207-nucleotide ribosomal RNA is filed under the name uncultured Pseudomonadota bacterium. Its description in RNAcentral is "uncultured proteobacterium partial 16S ribosomal RNA". It matches the Rfam family "Bacterial small subunit ribosomal RNA", at positions 568 to 774 of the family's 1533-position model. The record is from RNAcentral. Lineage: Bacteria; Pseudomonadati; Pseudomonadota.
CAUGUAGGCUGUUUAGUAAGUCAGAGGUGAAAUCCCACGGCUCAACCGUGGAACUGCCUUUGAUACUGCUAAACUUGAAUCCGGGAGAGGGUGGCGGAAUUCCAGGUGUAGGAGUGAAAUCCGUAGAUAUCUGGAGGAACAUCAGUGGCGAAGGCGGCCACCUGGACCGGUAUUGACGCUGAGAUGCGAAAGCGUGGGUAGCAAACA